This 514-nucleotide long non-coding RNA is filed under the name Elaeis guineensis (African oil palm). Its description in RNAcentral is "long non-coding RNA (EGUI_LNC025819)". The record is from RNAcentral. Lineage: Eukaryota; Viridiplantae; Streptophyta; Magnoliopsida; Arecales; Arecaceae.
GGUAGAAAAGAAGAAGUUCUAUGCGAUUUGCGAGACUGAGUUUAGAAAGUCUUUGGCCAAAGUAAGUGUGAAUACUGAAAAAGAGUUUUUACGGGAUUCACAAGUGAACUCGAGUCGAGUUAAUCUAACAUAUGAUUGAUGAUGGGAUCUGACGAGUUCUCCAUAAUCUCCGUCAAGUUAAGACUCACGAUAGAAGAAUUGAAUCAUACGAUAACUACACCUAGAGGUUCACACUUUCAUUCUACUGGAUUGCCACUACAUACUGCUAGAUGUUACUGAUAGAUUGUGGGACUUAUCAGAUGUCGUCUUGAUGAUCGAUGACCCUCAAAGGAUAGAGUUGAAAUUGUUUCAACUCAUCGAAAGGAGUUUUGAUGAUAUUGUGAUAGAGAUCAGAAUAUAUCUCACUAUCAGAUAGAAUAAAACCUAUAGGAUUACAUAUUAAGAGAUUAAUCUUGAAUUAACCAAUUGAACUUAUGAAGUUCUAAUUGGGUUAGGAUUUAGUGAAAUCCUAUUG